This 76-nucleotide transfer RNA is filed under the name Acidobacteriota bacterium. RNAcentral's name for it is "tRNA-Lys". It matches the Rfam family "tRNA". From Rfam's summary of the family: Transfer RNA (tRNA) molecules are approximately 80 nucleotides in length. The record is from RNAcentral. Lineage: Bacteria; Pseudomonadati; Acidobacteriota. RNAcentral also lists the same sequence under 2 other names.
GAGCCGGUAGCUCAGGCGGCAGAGCAGCGGACUUUUAAUCCGGAGGUCCUGGGUUCGAAUCCCAGCCGGCUCACCA